This 407-nucleotide ribosomal RNA is filed under the name uncultured bacterium. RNAcentral describes it as "partial 16S ribosomal RNA". It matches the Rfam family "Bacterial small subunit ribosomal RNA", at positions 28 to 526 of the family's 1533-position model. The record is from RNAcentral.
GACGAACGCUGGCGGCGUGCCUAAUACAUGCAAGUAGGACGCAGUUGCGAACGGGUGAGUAACGCGUAGGUAACUACCUAUUAGAGGGGGAUAACUAUUGGAAACGAUAGCUAAUACCGAAUACUAGUAGAUGGACCUGCGUUGUAUUAGAUAGUAGGUAGGGUAAUGGCAUACCUAGGCAACGAGACAUAGCCGACCUGGGAGGGUGAUAGGCUAAGCUGGGACUGAGAGACGUCCCAGACUCCGACGGGAGGCAGCAGUAGGGAAUCUGCGGCAAUGUGGGGAACCCUGACCGGGCAACGCCGCGGGAGUGAAGAAGGUUUUCGGAUCGUAAAGCGCUGUUGUUAAGGAAGCGGUACUUAACCAGAAAGGGACGGCUAACUACGUGCCAGCAGCCGCGGUAAUUC